AGAGUUUGAUCCUGGCUCAGAAUCAACGCUGGCGGCGUGCCUAACACAUGCAAGUCGCACGAGAAAGGGACUUCGGUCCUGAGUACAGUGGCGCACGGGUGAGUAACACGUGACUUAUCUACCUCCGAGUGGGGAAUAACCUAGAGAAAUCUGGGCUAAUACCGCAUAACACUUACGAGUCAAAGCAGCAAUGCGCUUGGAGAGGAGGUCGCGGCAGAUUAGUUAGUUGGCGGGGUAAUGGCCCACCAAGACGAUGAUCUGUAUCCGGCCUGAGAGGGCGCACGGACACACUGGAACUGAAACACGGUCCAGACUCCUACGGGAGGCAGCAGUGGGGAAUUUUGCGCAAUGGGGGAAACCCUGACGCAGCAACGCCGCGUGGAGGAUGAAAUCCCUUGGGAUGUAAACUCCUUUCGAUCGGGAAGAUAAUGACGGUACCGAGAGAAGAAGCCCCGGCUAACUUCGUGCCAGCAGCCGCGGUAAUACGAGGGGGGCAAGCGUUGUUCGGAAUUAUUGGGCGUAAAGGGUGCGUAGGCGGUUUGAUAAGUCACAUGUGAAAUCUUCGGGCUCAACCCGAAGUCUGCAUGCGAAACUGUCGGGCUUGAGUAUGGGAGAGGUGAGUGGAAUUUCCGGUGUAGCGGUGAAAUGCGUAGAUAUCGGAAGGAACACCUGUGGCGAAAGCGGCUCACUGGACCAUAACUGACGCUGAUGCACGAAAGCUAGGGGAGCAAACAGGAUUAGAUACCCUAGUAGUCC
RNAcentral lists this ribosomal RNA (756 nucleotides) under uncultured bacterium. RNAcentral describes it as "bacterial SSU rRNA". It matches the Rfam family "Bacterial small subunit ribosomal RNA", at positions 8 to 796 of the family's 1533-position model. The record is from RNAcentral.